Molecule: ribosomal RNA, 287 nt
Filed under: Acinetobacter calcoaceticus
Lineage: Bacteria; Pseudomonadati; Pseudomonadota; Gammaproteobacteria; Moraxellales; Moraxellaceae
Description: partial 16S ribosomal RNA
Rfam family: Bacterial small subunit ribosomal RNA
Source: RNAcentral
CCCGCAACGAGCGCAACCCUUUUCCUUAUUUGCCAGCGAGUAAUGUCGGGAACUUUAAGGAUACUGCCAGUGACAAACUGGAGGAAGGCGGGGACGACGUCAAGUCAUCAUGGCCCUUACGGCCAGGGCUACACACGUGCUACAAUGGUCGGUACAAAGGGUUGCUACCUAGCGAUAGGAUGCUAAUCUCAAAAAGCCGAUCGUAGUCCGGAUUGGAGUCUGCAACUCGACUCCAUGAAGUCGGAAUCGCUAGUAAUCGCGGAUCAGAAUGCCGCGGUGAAUACGUU